Molecule: ribosomal RNA, 671 nt
Filed under: uncultured bacterium
Lineage: Bacteria
Description: bacterial SSU rRNA
Rfam family: Bacterial small subunit ribosomal RNA
Source: RNAcentral
AGCGGCGGACGGGUUAGUAACGCGUGGGAACGUACCCUUUUCUACGGAAUAGCCUCGGGAAACUGAGAGUAAUACCGUAUAAGCCCUUCGGGGGAAAGAUUUAUCGGGAAAGGAUCGGCCCGCGUUAGAUUAGAUAGUUGGUGGGGUAAUGGCCUACCAAGUCUACGAUCUAUAGCUGGUUUUAGAGGAUGAUCAGCAACACUGGGACUGAGACACGGCCCAGACUCCUACGGGAGGCAGCAGUGGGGAAUCUUAGACAAUGGGCGCAAGCCUGAUCUAGCCAUGCCGCGUGUGUGAUGAAGGCCUUAGGGUCGUAAAGCACUUUCGCCAGGGAUGAUAAUGACAGUACCUGGUAAAGAAACCCCGGCUAACUCCGUGCCAGCAGCCGCGGUAAUACGGAGGGGGUUAGCGUUGUUCGGAAUUACUGGGCGUAAAGCGUACGUAGGCGGAUCAGAAAGUAGGGGGUGAAAUCCCGAGGCUCAACCUCGGAACUGCCUCCUAAACUCCUGGUCUUGAGUUCGAGAGAGGUGAGUGGAAUUCCAAGUGUAGAGGUGAAAUUCGUAGAUAUUUGGAGGAACACCAGUGGCGAAAGCGGCUCACUGUCUCGAUACUGACGCUGAGGUACGAAAGUGUGGGGAGCAACAGGAUUAGAUACCCUGGUAGUCACACGA